GUGAACCUGCGGAGGGAUCAUUACAAGUGACCCCGGUCUAACCACCGGGAUGUUCAUAACCCUUUGUUGUCCGACUCUGUUGCCUCCGGGGCGACCCUGCCUUCGGGCGGGGGCUCCGGGUGGACACUUCAAACUCUUGUGUAACUUUGCAGUCUGAGUAAACUUAAUUAAUAAAUUAAAACUUUUAACAACGGAUCUCUUGGUUCUGGCAUCGAUGAAGAACGCAGCGAAAUGCGAUAAGUAAUGUGAAUUGCAGAAUUCAGUGAAUCAUCGAAUCUUUGAACGCACAUUGCGCCCCCUGGUAUUCCGGGGGGCAUGCCUGUUCGAGCGUCAUUUCACCACUCAAGCCUCGCUUGGUAUUGGGCAACGCGGUCCGCCGCGUGCCUCAAAUCGACCGGCUGGGUCUUCUGUCCCCUAAGCGUUGUGGAAACUAUUCGCUAAAGGGUGUUCGGGAGGCUACGCCGUAAAACAACCCCAUUUCUAAGGUGACCUCGG
This 495-nucleotide small RNA is filed under the name Cladosporium sp. 0312TES11K9. RNAcentral's name for it is "eukaryotic LSU rRNA". The stretch from base 180 to 333 matches the Rfam family "5.8S ribosomal RNA". The record is from RNAcentral. Lineage: Eukaryota; Fungi; Ascomycota; Dothideomycetes; Cladosporiales; Cladosporiaceae.